This 764-nucleotide long non-coding RNA is filed under the name Oncorhynchus mykiss (rainbow trout). RNAcentral describes it as "lncRNA (ENSOMYG00000060622.1)". Lineage: Eukaryota; Metazoa; Chordata; Actinopteri; Salmoniformes; Salmonidae. The record is from RNAcentral.
CCAUGACUCUGAGCAUGUCUCCGGCUGCGGUGUGCCAGUGCUUUACACUGGUGUCACUGUGCACAUCCAUCGCCGACCCAAACUGGAUCCAAGUCAUGAACAACACUGACCCUGGAGGCAAACAGCUCAUCUAUGGUGUGGCUUUCAUACUGCAUGCUCCCCAGAACCUCACUGACACAGGUCCCCUGGGUGGUGUAAAUGGCUGGGGGGUGUGGCUGCUUUAUGCCCUGGCAGCUCUGUGCUACAGUGCUGUCCUGCUCUCCAGCUCCUCCUUCCUAUUGGACUUCCUGGGGACUGGGAUGUCCCACCCUCGACUGGUGGUGUUACUCCACAUCUCCACAGUGGUUCUCCUCCUGUCUGUUCUGGGAGUGUGUGGGGCCUGCCUGUACAUCAUUCACUGCAACCUUCAGGAGGGCAAGCUUGGGCCACUGUGGGAAUGGGUGGGGGGCUGGACCUGGCCUGGGUCUGGCUCCAGGAGCCAGGGAGGGGUGGCGGGGAUGAAGCCUUACCCAGGGGAGAGCUUCUACAUCACCAUGCUGGGCCUGCUCUUCUCCUGCCUGGCCGGUGUGAUCAGCCUGAGCAGCCUAGGGGACACCACCUCCACCCAGAGGGACUACAUAGCUGUGGUGGAGUGGGACGACAGUGACACAGAGCCCCUUACCCCCAGGGAGCAGGGAGUGGGACAGUCUGACGAAGAGGAGGGGGUAGGAGACGUGUUGCCUGAAAUUACUCAGGGGGAGGUGGGUGGAAGUGGAGACUCCUAA